UUACCAGCUUGACAUAUUUGAAAGGUGCUUCGGAACAGGUGUUGCAUGGCUGUCGUCAGCUCGUGUCGUGAGAUGUCGGGUUAAGUCCCUUAACGAGCGAAACCCUGCCCUAGUUACCAGCGUACGGGACUUUAGGGGACUGCCGUUGUCAAACGGAGGAAGGUGGGGACGACGUCAAGUCAUCAUGGCCCUUACGCUGGGCUACACACGUGCUACAAUGGGGUACAAGGGGCGCUGCGAAGGAAGCGACCCCAAAACCACCCCAGUUCGGAUUGCAGGCUGCAACUCGCCUGCAUGAAGUUGGAAUCGCUAGUAAUCGCGAUCAGCACGCGCGGUGAAUAUGUUCCUGAGCCUUGUACACACCGCCCGUCAAGCCACGAAAGCUGAAGGCCGAA
This 395-nucleotide ribosomal RNA is filed under the name uncultured bacterium. RNAcentral describes it as "bacterial SSU rRNA". It matches the Rfam family "Bacterial small subunit ribosomal RNA", at positions 971 to 1425 of the family's 1533-position model. The record is from RNAcentral.